RNAcentral lists this ribosomal RNA (443 nucleotides) under uncultured bacterium. RNAcentral's name for it is "partial 16S ribosomal RNA". It matches the Rfam family "Bacterial small subunit ribosomal RNA", at positions 338 to 795 of the family's 1533-position model. The record is from RNAcentral.
CCUACGGGUGGCAGCAGUGGGGAAUAUUGGGCAAUGGGCGCAAGCCUGACCCAGCAAAGCCGCGUGAAGGAUGAAGGCUCUCGGGUUGUAAACUUCUUUUUUCAGGGACGUAGCAAGUGACGGUACCUGAGGAAUGAGCCUCGGCUAACUACGUGCCAGCAGCCGCGGUAAUACGUCGGUGGCCAGCGUUAGCCGGAUUUACUGGGUGUAAAGGGCGUGUAGGCGGGACUGGAAGUCAGAUGUGAAAACCACGGGCUCAACCUGUGGACUGCAUUUGAAACUGUCGUUCUUGAGUACGGGAGAGGCAGGCGGAAUUCCUGGUGUAGCGGUGAAAUGCGUAGAUAUUAGGAGGAACACCAGUGGCGAAGGCAGUCUGCUGGACCGCAACUGACGCUGAGGCGCGAAAGCGUGGGUAGCGAACAGGAUUAGAUACCCCUGUAGUC